UACGAAGGGUGCAAGCGUUAUCCGGAUUCACUGGGUUUAAAGAGUGCGUAGGUGGGCAGGUAAGUCAGUGGUGAAAUCCUGUAGCUUAACUACAGAACUGCCAUUGAUACUAUUUGUCUUGAAUACCCUGGAGGUGAGCGGAAUAUGUCAUGUAGCGGUGAAAUGCUUAGAUAUGACAUAGAACACCAAUUGCGAAGGCAGCAGGCUAAACGAACAUUGACGCUGAGGCACGAAAGCGUGGGGAUCAAACAGG
This 253-nucleotide ribosomal RNA is filed under the name uncultured prokaryote. Its description in RNAcentral is "partial 16S ribosomal RNA". It matches the Rfam family "Bacterial small subunit ribosomal RNA", at positions 524 to 776 of the family's 1533-position model. The record is from RNAcentral.